RNAcentral lists this ribosomal RNA (400 nucleotides) under uncultured bacterium. RNAcentral's name for it is "bacterial SSU rRNA". It matches the Rfam family "Bacterial small subunit ribosomal RNA", at positions 355 to 772 of the family's 1533-position model. The record is from RNAcentral.
UGAGGAAUCUUCCACAAUGGGGGCAACCCUGAUGGAGCGACACCGCGUGAAGGAAGAAGGCCUAACGGUUGUAAACUUCUUUUCUGAGGGAGCAUAAUGAGAGUACCUCAGGAAUAAGGGACGGCAAAAUACGUGCCAGCAGCCGCGGUAAUACGUAUGUCCCAAGCGUUAUCCGGAAUUACUGGGUGUAAAGGGUUUGUAGGCUGCUUGUUAAGUCGGGUAUGAAAGACCGGAGCUCAACUCCGAGUUUGUAUUGGAAACUGGCAAGCUAGAAUUAGGGAGAGGUAAGCGGAAUUCUAAGUGUAGGGGUGCAAUCCGUAGAUACUUAGAAGAACACCAAAAGCGAAGGCAGCUUACUGGAACUAAAUUGACGCUGAAAAACGAAAGCGUGGGGAGCAAA